AAAAAAAAAAAAAAAAGAUUAGUGGCAGUCAGGAAAUUUUCUUAUUUCACGUCAUUGCAACUUCAAUACAGAACGUGGAAACUAUAUUUCUACAGUCAACAAACAGGUCAUGUACAUUUUUGUGAUUUUGACCUUCCGGCUUUUGUAUAUAAUAUAGAUCUCAGUGGUUUCUAUAGGAACUUGUAAUUGGUGAGUUUAUGCCG
This 203-nucleotide unclassified non-coding RNA is filed under the name Hevea brasiliensis (rubber tree). The record is from RNAcentral. Lineage: Eukaryota; Viridiplantae; Streptophyta; Magnoliopsida; Malpighiales; Euphorbiaceae.